GACGAACGCUGGCGGCGCGCCUAACACAUGCAAGUCGAACGGAGCAUACAGCAGGAAGCUUUCGGGCGGAGAGUUGUAUAGCUUAGUGGCGAACGGGUGAGUAACACGUGAGCAACCUACCCUAAAGUGGGGGACAACAUUUGGAAACAGAUGCUAAUACCGCAUAAGACCACGGAGGGACAUCCCUCUGAGGCCAAAGGAGCAAUUCGCUUUAGGAUGGGCUCGCGUCCGAUUAGGUAGAUGGUGAGGUAACGGCUCACCAUGCCGACGAUCGGUAGCCGGACUGAGAGGUUGAACGGCCACAUUGGGACUGAGACACGGCCCAGACUCCUACGGGAGGCAGCAGUGGGGAAUAUUGCACAAUGGGCGAAAGCCUGAUGCAGCGACGCCGCGUGAUUGGAAGAAGGUUUUCGGAUUGUAAACCUCUGUCUUAGGGGACGAAGAGGGUGACGGUACCCUAAGAGGAAGCCACGGCUAACUACGUGCCAGCAGCCGCGGUAAAACGUAGGUGGCAAGCGUUGUCCGGAAUUACUGGGUGUAAAGGGAGCGCAGGCGGGGCGGUAAGUUGAAUGUGAAAUCUAUGGGCUCAACCCAUAAAUUGCGUUCAAAACUAUCGUUCUUGAGUGAUGUAGAGGCAGGCGGAAUUCCCGGUGUAGCGGUGGAAUGCGUAGAUAUCGGGAGGAACACCAGUGGCGAAGGCGGCCUGCUGGGCAUCAACUGACGCUGAGGCUCGAAAGUAUGGGGAGCAAACAGGAUUAGAUACCCUGGUAGUCCAUACUGUAAACGAUGAUCACUAGGUGUGGGAGGAUAGACCCCUUCCGUGCCGGAGCUAACGCAAUAAGUGAUCCACCUGGGGAGUACGACCGCAAGGUUGAAACUCAAAGGAAUUGACGGGGGCCCGCACAAGCAGUGGAGUAUGUGGUUUAAUUCGACGCAACGCGAAGAACCUUACCAGGUCUUGACAUCGUACGCAUAGUGCAGAGAUGCAUGAAGCCCUUCGGGGCGUAUAGACAGGUGGUGCAUGGUUGUCGUCAGCUCGUGUCGUGAGAUGUUGGGUUAAGUCCCGCAACGAGCGCAACCCUUAUCGUCAGUUACUACGCAAGAGGACUCUGGCGAGACUGCCGUUGACAAAACGGAGGAAGGUGGGGAUGACGUCAAAUCAUCAUGCCCUUUAUGAUCUGGGCUACACACGUACUACAAUGGCCGUUGACAGAGAGAAGCGAAGGGGCGACCCGGAGCAAAACUCAGAAAAGCGGUCUCAGUUCGGAUUGCAGGCUGCAACCCGCCUGCAUGAAGCCGGAAUUGCUAGUAAUCGCGGAUCAGCAUGCCGCGGUGAAUACGUUCCCGGGCCUUGUACACACCGCCCGUCACACCAUGAGAGCCGGGGGGACCCGAAGUCGGUAGCCUAACCGCAAGGAGGGCGCCGCCGAAGGUAAAACUGGUGAUUGGGGUG
This 1453-nucleotide ribosomal RNA is filed under the name uncultured Bacillota bacterium. RNAcentral's name for it is "bacterial SSU rRNA". It matches the Rfam family "Bacterial small subunit ribosomal RNA". The record is from RNAcentral. Lineage: Bacteria; Bacillati; Bacillota.